AGGAUGAACGCUAGCGGCAGGCCUAAUACAUGCAAGUCGAACGGUUGCCAGCAAUGGCAAUAGUGGCGCACGGGUGCGUAACGCGUAGCCAACCUACCCACAUCUGGGGGAUAGCCCGCCGAAAGGCGGAUUAAUACCGCAUAAGGCUUGGAACCGGCAUCGGUUUUUAGUUAAAGAUUUAUUGGAUGUGGAUGGGGCUGCGUGCCAUUAGCUAGUUGGGGGGUAACGCCCACAAGGCGACGAUGGCUA
This 249-nucleotide ribosomal RNA is filed under the name uncultured bacterium. RNAcentral's name for it is "partial small subunit ribosomal RNA". It matches the Rfam family "Bacterial small subunit ribosomal RNA", at positions 26 to 285 of the family's 1533-position model. The record is from RNAcentral.